RNAcentral lists this ribosomal RNA (462 nucleotides) under uncultured Zoogloea sp. Its description in RNAcentral is "bacterial SSU rRNA". It matches the Rfam family "Bacterial small subunit ribosomal RNA", at positions 920 to 1378 of the family's 1533-position model. The record is from RNAcentral. Lineage: Bacteria; Pseudomonadati; Pseudomonadota; Betaproteobacteria; Rhodocyclales; Zoogloeaceae.
CCCCGCACAAGCAGCGGAGCGUGUGGUUUAAUCGUUGCUACACGAAGAACCUUACCUGGGUUUGACAUAGAGGUGGUAGGGAAGCGAAAGCGGACCGACCCUUCGGGGAGCCUCUACAGGUGUUGCAUGGCUGUCGUCAGCUCGUGUCGUGAGAUGUUGGGUUAAGUCCCGCAACGAGCGCAACCCUUGUCAUUAGUUGCCAUCAUUUGGUUGGGCACUCUAAUGAGACUGCCGGUGACAAACCGGAGGAAGGUGGGGAUGACGUCAAGUCAGCAUGACCUUUAUAUCCAGGGCUACACACACGCUACAAUGGUCUGUACAAUGGGUAGCCAAGCCGCGAGGCGGAGCCAAUCCUGAAAGCAGGCCUCAGUUCAGAUUGCAGUCUGCAACUCGACUGCAUGAAGCCGGAGUUGCUAGUAACCGCAGGUCAGCAAUACUGCGGUGAAUACGUUCCCGGGUCUU